RNAcentral lists this ribosomal RNA (429 nucleotides) under Cistopus sp. JMS-2004. RNAcentral describes it as "partial 12S ribosomal RNA". The record is from RNAcentral. Lineage: Eukaryota; Metazoa; Mollusca; Cephalopoda; Octopoda; Octopodidae.
CACCUUACAAAACCAUAUUCAACUAUACAUACUAAUUACUAAAUUUACUAUUAAGUCCACCUUACUAAUAAAAUAUAAUUUAUAUUAUCCGGAUAUAUUAAAUAAAAUUAAUUAUAGUAGUCCAUUAAAUCUUCUUCAUAAGCUACAUUAUGACUUGACAUAAUAACCAAAACAUUUAAUUAGUCCUUUUAUUCUUAAAAUAUAAACUGACGACAGCAAUAUAUAAACUGUUAUAUUAAUAUAUAAUAUCAAAAAAAAGUAAGUCUAAAAUGUGGAUUAUCAAAUUAUUUUAACAAACUCCCCUAACUGGAUAUGUAAAACCGCCAAACCUUUUAAGUUUUAAAUAUAUAUAAUAUUGCUAAGUAACAUAUAAUAAUUUACUUAUCUUCAUAAUACUUAGGUAAAAUAAUCAAUUUUUACUUUUAAAAA